CCUACGGGUGGCAGCAGUAGGGAAUUUUCGUCAAUGGGCGCAAGCCUGAACGAGCGAUGCCGCGUGAGUGAAGAAGGCCUUCGGGUCGUACAGCUCUGUUGCGGGGGAAAAAAGGCAGCAUACGGAAAUGGGUGCUGACUGAUGGUGCCCCGCCAGAAAGUCACGGCUAACUACGUGCCAGCAGCCGGGGUAAUACGUAGGUGGCGCUCGUUAUCUGGAAGGAUUGGGCGUAAAGGGUGCGCAGGCGGUCCGGCAAGUUUGGAGGGAAACGCAUGAGCUCAACUCAUGCAUGGCUUUGGAAACUGGAGGACUGGAGAGCAGUAGAGGGCAGUGGAACUCCAAGUGUAGCGGUAAAAUGCGUAGAUAUAUGGAAGAACACCAGUGGCGAAGGCGGCCGCCUGGCCUGUUGCUGACGCUGAGGCACGAAAGCGUGGGGAGCAAAUAGGAUUAGAUACCCGGGUAGUC
RNAcentral lists this ribosomal RNA (465 nucleotides) under uncultured bacterium. RNAcentral describes it as "partial 16S ribosomal RNA". It matches the Rfam family "Bacterial small subunit ribosomal RNA", at positions 338 to 795 of the family's 1533-position model. The record is from RNAcentral.